AAUAGACACAAGGAGAGGCAAGAAGCUCCACCUCACCCCAGUGGGGGCUGCAGGUGGAUGGAGACCAGAGCAUGCGGAGCGCCCCUGAGCAGCCGUGGCUGGGGUGGGAGCAGGGCCAUGAUGGCUCUGGAGAAAAGUGGGGCAGGCAGCUGCCUCCCUGGGGCUGAGGGGCUGCAAGGAGAAGUUGCAUCCCGAUGCAUGGCCUAUGCAUGGUACCCAGUCCCCAUGGCCACCCUGGCAUUUCAGGCACCUGCUGUGCACCAGGUCAGGCCCCAGACCGGCAUCCUCUCUCUCUCUGUGCACCCACACCUGGCAGGAAGCGGCAGCACCAUCUGGUUGCCUGGCAGCCUUGUCCUGCUCCCAGCUGCCUGUGGCCCCACUGGACUCAGCCCCCCAGCAGGGAGGCCUUCGGCUGCAGGGCAGGGGCUGGGCGGGCGCACCCUGUGGCUGGGGGCACUCAGGAGCCCUGGCUUCACCUCUGCUCUCGGCGCACAUGUGGACAGCUCACCCUUCAGCAGGGGUCCGGACCAAAGUCCUUGACCCACCGGGUUCUGAGUCCUGACAGGGCUGUGGACAGCUUCCCUUUCCACCCCGGCACGUGCUGGCAGGAGCUUCCGGGCCCUCACCCUGGGGCAGCAACUCCUGCACCACCAGCCACGCCCGGCCACGAGAAAGUGCAGAACAGCUCAGGCCCUUCUCACAACUUCCUGGAGCUCAGGGACAGUUUUUUGAGCACAAAUGGUGUUAGGUGACAGACUCGGGAUUGGCCUUGGACACUCAGCCCCCUCUUUCUGGAGCAAAGACUCAUGACCCACGUCCAAGUCACCCUGCACAUCCCUAAGCCUGACCGUGAAGCAGCCCUCACGGAUGCCCAGGACUCCCUGUCCGCACCACCAGGCAGCCGAGGCAGGUUUGGACCAGCUUCUCACACUCACACCUUCCUAGGGUUGCCCCAGGCCCUGACCUGCUGACCCUGCAGCUAUGACCUCUGACCUGUGGAGGAUGGGAGGGGUGAGCAGCAGGGAGAGUGGGAAGGAGGAAUGGAAAACCGUCCAGGAAGGGAGGCUGCAGCCCCGACACGAACAGGAGCCACCACCAGGGGGUGCUGUGCAGGGCUCCCGGAGGACAGGACCUUCCAGGGCCUCCCUGCCCCGAACCCAUAGGUGCCAGGCUUCUCACUGCUCACGACCUCCGUGCCGGGCUCAUACCUGCCGCGCCAGCCCCUCUUCAGCAGAGCACAAGUCUGGCAGCAGGAGGGCACCAGCCAGGGGCCCCGCGCCCCCGCCUCUGUACAGCAGGGUCACCGUGGGGUGACAUGAGAACACCGACCCAGGGAAUGGGCUCCUGCCACACCUGCCUGGGAACCUGGGCUGUGAGUCCUGCUCGCUGCACCCUCUAGCCUGACGUUGAAGUAACCUCGCCAGCGGGGCCCUCUGUGGCACUGGGCACUCAGGGAGAGCACGUGGCAUUGGAGAAGGUCCCACCCCCAAAUGCAAAGCUGGGAAAACCAGGCUGAGCCGGGGAUCAGGCCACCUCCGCAGGGACCCACUGCUGCCUCUUCCAGGAGCCCAGGAGACCCAGUGGGUCUCCUGCCCCCGACUCCAACUCCCUCCUGGCAGGACACACCCAGCUCACAGUGGCCUUUCCAUCCUGGGAAAGGGAGUGAGAGGAGGCUCAGGCCAGGGACCCGCCCAGCUCUGGCCGGCAACCGCCCUUCAGCCUUUCCUGAACCACUGUGUGGGCCCCAACCCAUCCGCUGCCUGCCGGAGGGAGCCCAUGGGGAAUGGACUAUUCUUGCCACCCCUAUCCAUGGCAGGGGAGGGGCUCAGCAUGGCUCUUGCCCACCCAGAAGAAGGUGCAGGGGGCCUGGCGUGGUGGUUCACACCUUUGGGAGGCCGAGGUGGGUGGAUCACCUCAGGUCAGGAGUUUGAGACCAGCCUGGCCAACAUGGUGAAACCCUGUUUCUACUGAAAAUACAAAAAUUAGCCAGGCGUGGUGAUGGGCACCUGUAAUCUCAGCUACUCAGGAGGCUGAGGCAGGAGAAUCACUUUCACUUAAACCCAGGAGGCGGAGGUUGCAGUGAGUUGAGAUCGCGCCACUGCACUCCAGCCUGGGCAACAGAACAAGACUCCGUCUC
Molecule: long non-coding RNA, 2137 nt
Organism: Homo sapiens (human)
Lineage: Eukaryota; Metazoa; Chordata; Mammalia; Primates; Hominidae
Source: Ensembl